GCAAUGCAAAACGUUCUAUCGCUGCUUUGCUUUCGGGCGGGCGGAGGAAAGUCCGGGCAACACAGAGCAUCCUGCUUCCUAACGGGAAGGCACCGUACCAGCCGGUGACAGCAAGUGCCACAGAAAAUAUACCGCCCCAACUUGUUGGGGUAAGGGUGAAAACGUGAGGUAAGAGCUCACGGCAUUACCGGGCGACCGGGAUGGCGGUAAACCUCAGGAGUUGAAAAACCAAAUAGGUCCUGAAUUUAAAGCUGCUCGCUUUUAUAUGUUAUUGAGUAACAUGGUCAGGAUGGGUAGGUUGUUAGAGCCUGGCAGCAAUGUUCAGGAACAGAUUAAUGAUAGAAAGUGCCCACCAGGGCAACACAGAACCCGGCUUACAGCUUUGCUGCUGGU
Molecule: RNase P RNA, 393 nt
Filed under: Mucilaginibacter polytrichastri
Lineage: Bacteria; Pseudomonadati; Bacteroidota; Sphingobacteriia; Sphingobacteriales; Sphingobacteriaceae
Description: Bacterial RNase P class A
Rfam family: Bacterial RNase P class A
About the family: Ribonuclease P (RNase P) is a ubiquitous endoribonuclease, found in archaea, bacteria and eukarya as well as chloroplasts and mitochondria.
Source: Rfam by way of RNAcentral